GCCUUCUUAACACAUAGUAGGUGGCGCAUCAGCCUCAUAAUCUGAAGGUCCUGAAUUCAAACCUCAGAGGGGGCA
RNAcentral lists this transfer RNA (75 nucleotides) under Loxodonta africana (African savanna elephant). It matches the Rfam family "tRNA". Rfam says of the family: Transfer RNA (tRNA) molecules are approximately 80 nucleotides in length. The record is from Rfam by way of RNAcentral. Lineage: Eukaryota; Metazoa; Chordata; Mammalia; Proboscidea; Elephantidae.